UGAUGCAAAAUUCUAAAUAUCUUGACCCUUGAAUUUAUCCGACUCUUGUUUCUCUAGCUGACUUACCGAUCUUAUCCUUUUACCAACAACCCGUAACACUUUACUUCACACUCUAAAAUCAAAACUCUGAUGGAAACCCUCCCUUAGAUCCUUUAACAAUAAAAAAUAACAAACUUUAUGGUUCAAAACAUGAAUAAGUUCUUUCACAUGCUCAAUACCGAUG
RNAcentral lists this unclassified non-coding RNA (223 nucleotides) under Hevea brasiliensis (rubber tree). The record is from RNAcentral. Lineage: Eukaryota; Viridiplantae; Streptophyta; Magnoliopsida; Malpighiales; Euphorbiaceae.